AGUCGAACGGUGGUAGCAAUGCCAUAGUGGCGCACGGGUGCGUAACACGUAACUAACCUACCUAUAACUGGGGGAUAGCCCGCCGAAAGGCGGAUUAAUACCGCAUAAGCUCUUUGGCUGGCAUCAGCUGAUUAGUAAAGAUUUAUUGGUUAUAGAUGGGGUUGCGGGUCAUUAGCUAGUUGGUAAGGUAACGGCUUACCAAGGCGACGAUGACUAGGGGAGCUGAGAGGCUGGUCCCCCACACGGGCACUGGGAUACGGGCCCGACUCCUACGGGAGGCAGCAGUAGGGAAUAUUGGGCAAUGGGCGAGAGCCUGACCCAGCCAUGCCGCGUGCAGGAAGAAGGCUUUCUGAGUCGUAAACUGCUUUUGACAGGGAAGAAUAAGGACUACGUGUAGUCUGAUGACGGUACCUGCAGAAUAAGCACCGGCUAACUCCGUGCCAGCAGCCGCGGUAAUACGGAGGGUGCGAGCGUUGUCCGGAUUUAUUGGGUUUAAAGGGUGCGUAGGCGGCCGUUUAAGUCCGGGGUGAAAGCCCGCUGCUCAACAGCGGAACUGCCCUGGAUACUGGACGGCUUGAGUACAGACGAGGUUGGCGGAAUGGACCGAGUAGCGGUGAAAUGCAUAGAUACGGUCCAGAACCCCGAUUGCGAAGGCAGCUGACUAGGCUGUUACUGACGCUGAGGCACGAAAGCGUGGGGAGCGAACAGGAUUAGAUACCCUGGUAGUCCACGCCGUAAACGAUGGAUACUCGCUGCGAGCUAAAGAUUGUUCGUGGCUUAGGGAAACCGAUAAGUAUCCCACCUGGGGAGUACGCUCGCAAGAGUGAAACUCAAAGGAAUUGAU
RNAcentral lists this ribosomal RNA (844 nucleotides) under uncultured bacterium. RNAcentral describes it as "bacterial SSU rRNA". It matches the Rfam family "Bacterial small subunit ribosomal RNA", at positions 60 to 914 of the family's 1533-position model. The record is from RNAcentral.